GUACUUUUAUUAAGGAAUUAAAAAUGAGUAUUAUGUUAAUAUUGGAGUUUAAUAGCUUAUGAUUGAUGGUUGCCUUGUAAUUCCCAAGAGGGAGUUACGGCAGUAAUGUCCCGACCGAAUUAGGAUGUUUCCGCUGCUAAGUAUUCCUUAAUCACUACUACAAAAAUGGGCAAAGAGACCCUUUAGAAAAGACCCCUUGAUCGACAAAACAGGUCUGUUUAAUAUAAAAGAUCUAUUAUUAUAGAUAACGGCUCUCUUAUGAGACAAAUGGCCCACUUUAAAUUAGAGGAAAAAAAAUAAGAGACCCGUUAUCUGACUUAACGGGACUCUAGUGCAUAAAUGAGAUCAUUUAAUUGCGGCACAAAAUUAAAAAAAAACACAACAGACCCUUUAGGUUAGUUAACGGGUCUCUUAUGUAUCAAGGGACCCACCAUUCUUUUAUAAAAUAAUAUAAAAUUAAAUAUAAAAAUAACAAAAGACCUGUCAUUAACAUAACAGGUCUCUCUAUUUUCAUUCAUUUCCUAGCGCUGAACUUUCGCAUAACCCAAUUUCACCCUAGCUAUUUUGUCUUUUCCCUUUUCUUCUUCUUCCCUGGACAUAAAGGCGAGUAGGGCAAGGAAAUCAUUCGCGAAAUCAUCACAAACUCACCACCACCGGCGAAUCUACCACCGAAGAAAUACUUUACGGUCGACGACUUCAUUACCACCGGCGACCUCAACACAAUCUCUAGCGAACUACAAAUUUAGGUGAAUCAUUCAAUUACCGAGCAAAGUAAGAAGAAAUAUAUACUUGCCCCAAUCCGUCAAGAAGGGGAAGAGUUUAUCUUCGAUUCCAUGGCCGAUAGGUAGUUAGACAAUUUGCAUAACAAAGGCUCCUUGUCUGUGCUUGGCUGGCAUUUAGGAAGUACUUCGUAACUAAUAUGCCAUCUGAUUUGACUCCGAUUUAUAAGCCCAUAUACAAAGUUUGUAAUAGUGUUCCUCAGCAGAUCCUAAACCUGGCACAUAAUAAGAAUGAGAUACAUAUAAGAGUUUGUUCUCAUUGACAAGUUCACAAAACGAGUUUAGCAUUUGCAUGCUGUAGCAUUCCAGGUAAUACUCUGGCCUCGUUCCUUGAUUAAGACUUAAUCCAACUGCAUGUUGGGUUGAUUACCAAGAAAUUCAUUUAGGAAGUUAGAGAUGGGACGAAGGUUAACUACGAGGAUGCAUGGACAUUAAUUUGUGUCAUUCCACACAUCUGAAAGUGCAGACGCGAUAGCGAGAGCUUUUGAUCUUGGUAUUAGCGUCAAGAUGCUAUCAGAAUCAAGUAUGGGACCUGGUAAAGGUGUAAUUGGUGGCCCUGCUCUGAAGAAGGCAGUAGGAGCAACAACCAGCUAAAUGGUGCGACUCCGAUUAUUACUUUUAGUGAAUCAGCUUAACGUGUACAAGUUUUUAUGUAUUUUGGAUAUCACAUUUUUUUUUGUGGGGAUUUGGAUCACAGUUGAUGUGAAGUAAGAAAUACUUUUAUUUCGGUAAUAGUAUUAAUUAUUUAUAGUAUUAUCAAGCAUGUUCAAUGCUGAAU
Molecule: long non-coding RNA, 1557 nt
Organism: Spinacia oleracea (spinach)
Lineage: Eukaryota; Viridiplantae; Streptophyta; Magnoliopsida; Caryophyllales; Amaranthaceae
Exons: 6
Source: RefSeq, a predicted model, not a curated record